Molecule: ribosomal RNA, 207 nt
Filed under: uncultured bacterium
Lineage: Bacteria
Description: partial 16S ribosomal RNA
Rfam family: Bacterial small subunit ribosomal RNA
Source: RNAcentral
CGUGUAGGCGGCUUGGUAAGUCAGAUGUGAAAGCCCUGGGCUCAACCCAGGAAGUGCAUUUGAAACUACCAGACUUGAGUACGGGAGAGGAGGGGGGAAUUCCCGGUGUAGAGGUGAAAUUCGUAGAUAUCGGGAGGAAUACCGGUGGCGAAGGCGCCCCUCUGGACCGAUACUGACGCUGAGACGCGAAAGCGUAGGGAGCAAACA